Molecule: non-coding RNA, 27 nt
Filed under: Bombyx mori (domestic silkworm)
Lineage: Eukaryota; Metazoa; Arthropoda; Insecta; Lepidoptera; Bombycidae
Source: RNAcentral
UACUCGGUAGGGAUUGCGGUGUGCUUC